AGAGGAAGGCGGAGCGGCGAGAGGCGGAGACGGAGCCGGACAGGGGCGGCACCACGGCACGAGCCCUGCACAGUCCAGUGUGAGGGGAGCGACGCGAAGAGCAGUCGACGGCGCUGCCGCCACCACCACCGCCAUAGACACACUCUCAUCCUACGGGCUACGCCUGGGCCUUGCUGCCAGGAAGCUUCGGCCCCGCAGCUCGGCUUGCUGCGGUCUUAGGUUUCUUUACCUCCAGAAAGAAGAAUAUUGACCCCUUGAAUUCUGGAAGUUCAUUGAAGAAUCUGAAAUUAGGGACUUAUUUCAAAUUUGGACAUGGCUAAUCGAGGUGCAACAAGACCCAACGGGCCAAAUACUGGAAAUAAAAUAUGCCAGUUCAAACUAGUACUUCUGGGAGAGUCUGCUGUUGGCAAAUCAAGCCUAGUGCUUCGUUUUGUGAAAGGCCAAUUUCAUGAAUUUCAAGAGAGUACCAUUGGGGCUGCUUUUCUAACCCAAACUGUAUGUCUUGAUGACACUACAGUAAAGUUUGAAAUACGGGAUACAGCUGGUCAAGAACGAUACCAUAGCCUAGCACCGAUGUACUACAGAGGAGCACAAGCAGUCAUAGUUGUAUAUGAUAUCACAAAUGAGGAGUCCUUUGCAAGAGCAAAAAAUUGGGUUAAAGAACUUUAGAGGCAAGCAAGUCCUAACACUGUAAUAGCUUUAGCAGGAAACAAGGCCAACCUAGCAAAUAAAAGAGCAGUAAAUUUCCAGGAAGCACAGUCCUUUGCAGAUGACAAUAGUUUAUUAUUCAUGGAGACAUCAGCUAAAACAUCAAUGGAUGUAAAUGAAAUAUUCAUGGCAAUAGCUAAAAAAUUGCCAAAGGAUGAACCACAAAAUCCAGGAGCAAAUUCUGCCAGAGGAAGAGGAGUAGACCUCACCGAACCCACACGACCAACCAGGAGUCAGUGUUGUAGUAACUAAACCUCUAGUUUGAAC
RNA transcript from Cercocebus atys (sooty mangabey), 975 nucleotides. It is a transcript of the gene named ras-related protein Rab-5A pseudogene, with no coding region annotated. NCBI's taxonomy places the organism in Eukaryota, Metazoa, Chordata, Mammalia, Primates, Cercopithecidae. The transcript has a single exon. The record is from RefSeq and is a predicted model, not a curated record.